RNAcentral lists this small RNA (102 nucleotides) under Flavobacterium aquicola. RNAcentral's name for it is "Flavo-1 RNA". It matches the Rfam family "Flavo-1 RNA". Lineage: Bacteria; Pseudomonadati; Bacteroidota; Flavobacteriia; Flavobacteriales; Flavobacteriaceae. The record is from RNAcentral.
AAAUAGCCCCGAUAGAAGCGAAAAUCUCCCGAUUUAGAAAAACAAGGCUUUUUUGCCGUAGUUUUUCUAAAUCGGGAAUUGCCGUGGAUAGCGGGAGAAAUG